This 755-nucleotide ribosomal RNA is filed under the name Sceloporus jalapae. RNAcentral describes it as "partial 12S ribosomal RNA". It matches the Rfam family "Bacterial small subunit ribosomal RNA", at positions 394 to 1370 of the family's 1533-position model. The record is from RNAcentral. Lineage: Eukaryota; Metazoa; Chordata; Lepidosauria; Squamata; Phrynosomatidae.
UCCACGUACCAGUGAAAAUGCCCUAAAUGCACAAACGGAGCAGGUAUCAGGCACAAACAUUAGCCCAAAACACCAAGCCUCGCCACACCCACACGGGCUACAGCAGUAAUUAACAUUAAGCAAUGAGCGACAUACAAACCAUAAAGCUUGACUUAGUUAUGAUUAAUAAGGCCGGUAAACCUCGUGCCAGCCACCGCGGUUAUACGAAGGGCCUAAAGCAGCAGACCACGGCGUAAAUCGUGGUUAGAAUGCCUACCAAGUACUAACAAUUAAACCUUCGCCUGCCAGUAAAACAUAGGCCAAGUGAAACCAAACAUUCUUAGCAAAAGGUAGUUUGACCCACGAAAACUAAGGUACAAACUAGGAUUAGAUACCCUACUAUGCUUAGUUGUAAAUAUGAUAUUAUUCUACACAAAUAUCCGCCAGAAAAUUACGAGCGAAAAGCUUAAAACUCAAAGGACUUGGCGGUGCUCCACACCGACUUAGAGGAGCCUGUCCUAUAAUCGAUACCCCACGCUAAACCUCACCAAUCUUUGCCUUACCAGCCUAUAUACCGCCGUCGCCAACCUACCUCGUGAGAGAUAAAUAGUGAGUAAAAAAGUUAAUAACUAAAACGUCAGGUCAAGGUGUAGCUAAUAGAAUGGUAGAGAUGGGCUACAUUUUUUAAUAUAAAACACAACGGCAUGAAAUUAUGAAAUUUUUUCCUGAAGGAGGAUUUAAUAGUAAAAUUAACAAGAAAGUCAAUUUUAAAUACG